This 380-nucleotide long non-coding RNA is filed under the name Salmo salar (Atlantic salmon). RNAcentral describes it as "lncRNA (ENSSSAG00000108203.1)". Lineage: Eukaryota; Metazoa; Chordata; Actinopteri; Salmoniformes; Salmonidae. The record is from RNAcentral.
CAUAUCAUUUGCAGGCUUGUGUAACUAGGAUGGUAGCGGGGUGAAAAGGCCAUGGCUCGGGUGACGAGGUCCUUGAUGAUCUUUGGGGGCCAAGCCUAAUUUCCGUUACAACUUCGUCUCCCCUACCACUCUGCUACUACCGGCGUUGGAGGUUUAUGUGCUACAUUAGUAAGACUGGUUCUACUCAUGACAUCGAGAGGCUAUGAUUUUGACUUCAAACCCCUGUGCACAAGGAAAUACCAUACCUGGAAAAACCAGUUGGGGAUUCCUCCCUUACAAGACCAUACCUGGAAAAACCAGUUGGGGAUUCCUCCCUUACAAGACCAUACCUGGAAAAACCAGUUGGGGAUUCCUCCCUUACAAGACCAUACCUGGAAAAA